AAAUAGAAGAUUUGUUAGGUCACUAAAGUAAUUGGGGCUCAUCUGAACCCCAACUUUGUUUUGGAAAGAAAGGAGGAUGAAAAACAAAGUGAGAGGCAACAAACUUCCCUGCCUCAAAUUUUCUUGUUGCCAUUUCUACUCUUUAUUGAGUAACUUAGCAAAUUGUAUCUGGCACACAUACGUGAUGUUGUCACUUGUCAGUUGUUAUAAAAAAAUUUUAAAUACUUAGUCCAAAAUGGAAAUAAUGACAACCUUAUAUCUUCAACAUGUAAUUCAUUCAACAGCUGCACAAACAAGAUUCUUGAAAUCAAGAGGUGAUUGUUUUUUCCCCUAACUAGUUUUGAAAGACAACAUAAUUUAAAUUUCUGAAUGCAUUGACAACAUCAUGUUCUGCAUGCAAAAUACACUGGAUAGUAAUCACAUAACCCAUUCAACAGCUGCAAUGCAUGAAUGGUGAAAACUCUUGGUGAACUUG
RNAcentral lists this unclassified non-coding RNA (475 nucleotides) under Hevea brasiliensis (rubber tree). The record is from RNAcentral. Lineage: Eukaryota; Viridiplantae; Streptophyta; Magnoliopsida; Malpighiales; Euphorbiaceae.